This 460-nucleotide ribosomal RNA is filed under the name uncultured bacterium. RNAcentral describes it as "partial 16S ribosomal RNA". It matches the Rfam family "Bacterial small subunit ribosomal RNA", at positions 338 to 795 of the family's 1533-position model. The record is from RNAcentral.
CCUACGGGCGGCUGCAGUGAGGAAUAUUGGUCAAUGGGCGCAAGCCUGAACCAGCCAAGUCGCGUGAGGGAUGACGGUCCUAUGGAUUGUAAACCUCUUUUGUCGGGGAGCAAGGCCCGCCACGUGUGGCGGGAAGGAGAGUACCCGAAGAAAACGCAUCGGCUAACUCCGUGCCAGCAGCCGCGGUAAUACGGAGGAUGCGAGCGUUAUCCGGAUUUAUUGGGUUUAAAGGGUGCGUAGGCGGAAGGUUAAGUCAGCGGUAAAAUGGCGGUGCUCAACACCGGCCUGCCGUUGAAACUGGUCUUCUUGAGUGAGCGAGAGGUAUGCGGAAUGCGUGGUGUAGCGGUGAAAUGCAGAGAUAUCACGCAGAACUCCGAUUGCGAAGGCAGCAUACCGGCGCUCAACUGACGCUGAGGCACGAAAGCGUGGGGAUCGAACAGGAUUAGAUACCCGAGUAGUC